CAAUAGCGUAUGCUAACUUUGUUGCAGUUAAAAGGCUCGUAGUCGAAUUUCUGGCCGUGUAAUUUUGUUCCGUCGUCAAGUACGAUGCGAUACGGAUUUACUGGUCAUCCUUCUGGAAAGCGCGUCUGCCCUUGAUUGGGUCGGUCGUUGCGAUCCAGAUCAUUUACUGUGAGUAAAUCAGAGUGUUCAAUGCAGGCUUUUUGGCUUGAAUGUUUUAGCAUGGAAUAAUGAGAUAGGACUUGAGUUUUGUUUCGUUGGCUUGUUGACUUGAGUAAUGAUUGAUAGGGACAGUUGGGGAUGCUAGUACUUGUCGGUGAGCGGUGAAAUGCGUAGACCCGUUAAAGACUAUCUUUUGCGAAAGCAUUCAUCAAGGAUGUCUUCUUUGA
RNAcentral lists this ribosomal RNA (386 nucleotides) under uncultured eukaryote. RNAcentral describes it as "partial 18S ribosomal RNA". It matches the Rfam family "Eukaryotic small subunit ribosomal RNA", at positions 592 to 976 of the family's 1831-position model. The record is from RNAcentral.